CCCUGAUGUUAGCGGCGGACGGGUGAGUAACACGUGGGUAACCUGCCUGUAAGACUGGGAUAACUCCGGGAAACCGGGGCUAAUACCGGAUGGUUGUUUGAACCGCAUGGUUCAAACAUAAAAGGUGGCUUCGGCUACCACUUACAGAUGGACCCGCGGCGCAUUAGCUAGUUGGUGAGGUAACGGCUCACCAAGGCAACGAUGCGUAGCCGACCUGAGAGGGUGAUCGGCCACACUGGGACUGAGACACGGCCCAGACUCCUACGGGAGGCAGCAGUAGGGAAUCUUCCGCAAUGGACGAAAGUCUGACGGAGCAACGCCGCGUGAGUGAUGAAGGUUUUCGGAUCGUAAAGCUCUGUUGUUAGGGAAGAACAAGUACCGUUCGAAUAGGGCGGUACCUUGACGGUACCUAACCAGAAAGCCACGGCUAACUACGUGCCAGCAGCCGCGGUAAUACGUAGGUGGCAAGCGUUGUCCGGAAUUAUUGGGCGUAAAGGGCUCGCAGGCGGUUUCUUAAGUCUGAUGUGAAAGCCCCCGGCUCAACCGGGGAGGGUCAUUGGAAACUGGGGAACUUGAGUGCAGAAGAGGAGAGUGGAAUUCCACGUGUAGCG
RNAcentral lists this ribosomal RNA (611 nucleotides) under Bacillus subtilis. Its description in RNAcentral is "bacterial SSU rRNA". It matches the Rfam family "Bacterial small subunit ribosomal RNA", at positions 84 to 680 of the family's 1533-position model. Lineage: Bacteria; Bacillati; Bacillota; Bacilli; Caryophanales; Bacillaceae. The record is from RNAcentral.